Molecule: long non-coding RNA, 263 nt
Filed under: Physcomitrium patens
Lineage: Eukaryota; Viridiplantae; Streptophyta; Bryopsida; Funariales; Funariaceae
Description: long non-coding RNA (PPAT_LNC000013)
Source: RNAcentral
UCCAAUAUUAUAACAAAAGAAGUAUCAAUUUAGAGGAGGAUAAUCCGCAACCUCUAAAGUGCUAGUACACUUCCAAGCGGAGGGGUAACCCAUACUCUAACAAGGAAGAAAGUAACUCUGAUAUCUGAGGUGAGUGUAGUCUCGACAAACUGUCACAGACACAGAAAUACAGACUCGAGAUCUAACAAGAAGUUCAAGAAGAACUGAGAAGAACUAGAUUAAUCAGAUGAAUAUAAGAACCACACCAAAGAGGUGAGUUAGAG